Long non-coding RNA from Rhincodon typus (whale shark), 609 nucleotides. RefSeq lists it as uncharacterized. The transcript has 3 exons. The record is from RefSeq and is a predicted model, not a curated record. NCBI's taxonomy places the organism in Eukaryota, Metazoa, Chordata, Chondrichthyes, Orectolobiformes, Rhincodontidae.
UGCUGGUGUGGAUGCUGUCUCCUGAAUGGAACCAUGCUUGUGGCAUUUGGCCUUUCCAUCUGUUUCUGAGUCAUAAAAGCUUAACAUAGUAAGCACUUCAGCAAUCUCACCAGUCCCCGGGUUACAAAUGGAUUUCGUUCCUAUGUCUAUUCGCAAGUUGUUUUGUGUGCAAGUUGGAACACAAUGCAGGACAUUAUAAAACAGCCAUUUGCAAGCGCAGGAAAUGUUUACACAUUGGAUAUUUAGAAUUACACCACUCUAUUGGAUCACAUUUGUGUGUAGUAGCAGCACUAGAUGGUGUUCACGCCAAAUGAGGAGAGAUGAUGUCACAGAAAUUCCCCUCUUGGUACCAAAUUGAAGAGACAAAAUGAUGGAACCAACUGGUAUGUCAUGCUGCAAGUGGUCCCGGUAAGAAGGAGACUGAGAGAGACCUUUACGCCCUCAGAUCCAGCACCAUGAUACAGCGCUGGGAUUAUGAAUGUGUCUCUUAAAGGUAUAUUGCAUAUGAGGUGUGAGACGUAACACAACAGAGACAUGUAUUGUCUAUGAGUUAUGAUUACGUGAGUUAUUCCUUCAGAGUCAUAGAGUCAUACGGCAUGGAAACAGACC